This 1330-nucleotide long non-coding RNA is filed under the name Bemisia tabaci. RNAcentral describes it as "lncRNA ENSSSA1UGG005022". Lineage: Eukaryota; Metazoa; Arthropoda; Insecta; Hemiptera; Aleyrodidae. The record is from RNAcentral.
AUGAAUGUUAAUCAUGACAAUUUCAAUAUUGUUUAUUACUUCUUCAUUAUAGAUGCUCUUACGGUUCGCCUCAGGCCUAUCCAGAAGUUGUCGAGAAGCGUGCUGUGCCAGGAAAAGUGGAACUGGAAAACGUCAAUGCAGAGAUCGCCAGAUGCUGCCAGGAAAGAAAAUCAAAUGACAAUUCCUAAUACUCGAUAUAUCCCGGUUAAGGUUCCGUCAAAAGUAGACCUUGUAGACACAUCUCGAGCCAUUCGACCUCGCACCUUUUCCCCGCACCAGUGUGGGCCCAGAUGUGUUUCUUGGUUGGCUAUACGGGAGAUGAAGGGAAAGGUUAUGGUCCACUUGUACUUCCUUUAUUAUUUGGAUUUGAAAGAGUGCUGACAAAAUUAAGGAAUAAAGGCAUCAUAUUUUAUAUAGCACCCUGCGGGCGAAGACUUCGAAACAUAUCAGAAAUUCACCGCUAUCUUAGGAUAACAAAAUCGCUAAUGACUGUUGAUCAGUUCAGUUUUGAAGAAUGGGUCAAUUGUCUCAGUGAGUUUAAGAUAACAAGGUGUUUCAAUUAAUUAAGGUAAGAUAUCUUUGCUGUUACUCAUUAUGCCUAGCUUCCACAUUGCCUAUUAUCCCUCCAUCCUUGGGAAGAUCUAAUUUUUGUAAGGUACGAAUUGUGUUUGAGUCGCUUGUUAUGAUGAAAACUUAUGUUGAAAACUUCCACUAGAAUUUUUCUUUGAUGCACAUUGUAUUAUACUGAAAAAUAUCUGGGAAAACCCUCAUGAUACUUAUGAGAAACACCUGACUUAAGUGAAAUUUUGUAUAGAACAGAAUAUUGUCUUGAUUAGGGAAUACUAAUUUUAAGCACAGUGAAGGCUCAGUUAUUUAAACUCUGAUUAUUCAAAUCGAUUUAACAAGCUUGCGUCGCAAAAAUUUUGGGUGAACUAGUCAACUGACAAUGUGUAAAAAUCAACUGUUGGGUGGGUAUACGUUCCGUAACAUGGGUGGGAUAUUACUGCUUGAAAACUCGCUGUGAAAAAGAAACAAAUGCACCUUACUGAAUGGAACUUGUCGCAAGAGUCUUAUUCAAGUGAAUAGACUUUAUACCGGUAAAAUUGCACAAAAAUCAAGCUGAGCACAUAGAAACGUCUGAUAUUCACGCCUUAGAGCAGAAUUUGCAUAGUUCAUACACUCAGGUUGCCAGCGACCGGGAAAAGUCAGGAAAAAAAACCACGAAAGUCAGGGAAAGUCAGGGAUUUGGUGUUGGUCAGGGAUUUCUGAUUUUCGUGGAAUUAGCGCGGGCGGCUAAAAAUAAUAGUCGAAAAAGCUCUCAUUUUCACUU